CGUGGGUAACCUGCCCCGAUGACUGGGACAACCCGAGGAAACUCGGGCUAAUACCGGAUGUGGUGUACACACAUCAGUGUGUCCACUAAAGGAAGCUUCGGCCUCCGCAUCGGGAUGGGCCCGCGGCCCAUUAGCUAGUUGGUGAGGUAAUGGCCCACCAAGGCGACGAUGGGUAGCUGGUCUGAGAGGACGAUCAGCCACACUGGGACUGAGACACGGCCCAG
This 224-nucleotide ribosomal RNA is filed under the name uncultured bacterium. Its description in RNAcentral is "partial 16S ribosomal RNA". It matches the Rfam family "Bacterial small subunit ribosomal RNA", at positions 116 to 334 of the family's 1533-position model. The record is from RNAcentral.